Molecule: ribosomal RNA, 374 nt
Filed under: uncultured bacterium
Lineage: Bacteria
Description: bacterial SSU rRNA
Rfam family: Bacterial small subunit ribosomal RNA
Source: RNAcentral
ACGUAGGGUGCGAGCGUUGUCCGGAAUUAUUGGGCGUAAAGAGCUCGUAGGCGGUCUGUCACGUCGGAUGUGAAAACUCGGGGCUCAACCCCGAGCCUGCAUUCGAUACGGGCAGACUAGAGUUCGGUAGGGGAGACUGGAAUUCCUGGUGUAGCGGUGAAAUGCGCAGAUAUCAGGAGGAACACCGGUGGCGAAGGCGGGUCUCUGGGCCGAUACUGACGCUGAGGAGCGAAAGCGUGGGGAGCGAACAGGAUUAGAUACCCUGGUAGUCCACGCCGUAAACGUUGGGCGCUAGGUGUGGGGGACUUUCCACGUCCUCUGUGCCGCAGCUAACGCAUUAAGCGCCCCGCCUGGGGAGUACGGCCGCAAGGCUA